CGGGAAGCAGCGCAACCAGAAAAAUUUGAACUCCGACUCCCUCGGGAGCACCUAAGGGUUGUAAGCAGGAGAGGAGAAACGAUGGUGUAGAUGGCUUUCAGUGGAGAAGCCACUGUCAUGGAGGUGUUCCUGUCGAGUCAGGUGUUAUCCUAAAGUGUCAUACAGCUGUGGCUGCUGCUAACACACACAAUACCUUUGUGGAAUUAAAAAGGCACCUAUUCCUCGAUAUGUUACAUCCAUUGGUCAGAAAGUGUCAUAAUGGACUGAUUUUGUUAGAGCAUGAUGCUGCUAUACACAAGAAUAU
Long non-coding RNA from Lynx canadensis (Canada lynx), 304 nucleotides. RefSeq lists it as uncharacterized. The record is from RefSeq and is a predicted model, not a curated record. The transcript is spliced from 3 exons. NCBI's taxonomy places the organism in Eukaryota, Metazoa, Chordata, Mammalia, Carnivora, Felidae.